This 1134-nucleotide ribosomal RNA is filed under the name human gut metagenome. Its description in RNAcentral is "bacterial LSU rRNA". It matches the Rfam family "Bacterial large subunit ribosomal RNA", at positions 830 to 1977 of the family's 2925-position model. The record is from RNAcentral.
CAAUCGAACCCGGAGAUAGCUGGUUCUCCUCGAAAUAGCUUUAGGGCUAGCCUCGCAUUAGUUUACCGGAGGUAGAGCACUGAAUGGUCUAGGGGGCCUCACCGCCUACCGAAACCUAUCAAACUGCGAAUGCCGGAUAAAUGAUGUGCGGGAGUCAGGCCGCGAGAGAUAAGUUCCGCGGUCAAAAGGGGAACACCCCAGAUCGUCUGCUAAGGUCCCUAAGUACGCGUUAAGUGGGAAAGGAUGUUGGAUUGCACAGACAACCAGGAUGUUGGCUUAGAAGCAGCCACACAUUCAAAGAGUGCGUAAUAGCUCACUGGUCGAGUGAUCCAGCGCCGAAAAUGUAACGGGGCUAAAACGCGACACCGAAGCAGCGGGAUGCGUAAGCAUCGGUAGAGGAGCAUUGUGUGAGGGUUGAAGCCAGAGCGAGAGCACUGGUGGACUUCACAGAAGAGAGAAUGCCGGUAUGAGUAGCGAGACCCAUGCGAGAAACAUGGGCGUCGAAGGCCCAAGGUUUCCUGGGGAAGGUUCAUCCACCCAGGGUAAGUCGGGACCUAAGCCGAGGACUAGAUGGUCGUAGGCGAUGGACAACAGGUUGAUAUUCCUGUACUACCUUUAGCGUUAAAACGAGGCAGUGACACAGGAGGAUAGGCAGAGCGGGUUGAUGGUAGAACCCGUCCAAGCAUUUAGGGAGACAGAGUAGUGAAGUACGCUUUGUUGAUAAUUCUGAGAUGUGAUGGGGACAGAAAAUAAGUAUGGAAGCUGCUGAAUCCACACUGGCGAGAAAAGCUGCUAGGAGCGAAGAGGUACCCGUACCGCAAACCGACACAGGUAGGCGAGGAGAGAAUCCUAAGAUGAGCGAGAUAACCAUUGUUAAGGAACUCGGCAAAAUGACCCCGUAACUUAGGGAGAAGGGGUGCCUAGAAAUAGGUCGCAGAGAAUAGGUCCAAGCGACUGUUUAGCAAAAACACAGGUCUGUGCGAAAUCGAGAGAUGAAGUAUACGGGCUGACGCCUGCCCAGUGCCGGAAGGUUAAGGGGAAAUGUUAGUCGAAAGGCGAAGCAUGGAACUUAAGCCCCGGUGAACGGCGGCCGUAACUAUAACGGUCCUAAGGUAGCGAAAUUCCUUGUCAGGU